This is a small nucleolar RNA of Cheilinus undulatus (humphead wrasse), 171 nucleotides long. RefSeq annotates it as small nucleolar RNA SNORD97. The record is from RefSeq and is a predicted model, not a curated record. Lineage: Eukaryota; Metazoa; Chordata; Actinopteri; Labriformes; Labridae. The transcript has a single exon.
AUGCCCAGUGAUUAUAAAAAGACGCGUUAUUCUGAGGAACACAACCAGCUGCCAGUCUUCCUCCUUCUCUGAACUCUCCAUCUCCAUCUCUCCUCUAAACCUUCUCUUCUUCUUUUCUUUUUUCAAACUGGCAGCUGGUCCGCUGACUGCGAUUAUGAGAUAUGAGGGCAU